Molecule: ribosomal RNA, 301 nt
Filed under: uncultured archaeon
Lineage: Archaea
Description: bacterial SSU rRNA
Rfam family: Archaeal small subunit ribosomal RNA
Source: RNAcentral
ACGGGGUGCAGCAGGCGCGAAACCUUCACAAUGUGCGAAAGCGCGAUGAGGGGAUCCCAAGUGCUUGCACUUAAGUGUAAGCUGUUUCUUUGUUUAAAAUGCAGAGAGAGGAAGGGCUGGGUAAGACGGGUGCCAGCCGCCGCGGUAAUACCUGCAGCUCAAGUGGUGACCGCUAUUAUUGGGCCUAAAACGUUCGUAGCCGGCUGAGUAAAUGCUUGGGUAAAUCGUGCCGCUUAACGGUACGAAUUCCGGGUAGACUGCUCAGCUUGAGACCGGGAGAAGCUAGAGGUACUCCUGGGGG